UGGUUGCAUGAAGGAGCUUGGGUUGUACACACAUUUGGGAUUAGAAAGACCUUGUUAGCAGAAAUACUAGUUAUUAACCUGCAUUGAGCUAUCUAUUUUUUGCCGUCUCUCUUCAUCACUAGAGUAAUUCUACCCUUUUUUGAGUAUUGAAAUCCUUGUCAUGCUAUUUGGGUUCCCUUUUUGCAGGUGCAACCUGGUCUUUCUGCACUUGAAGAUGCAAUGGAGGUAGGAUAUGAAGAUUUCAAGAUAGCGUCGAAAUAGUGAUUGGCGGGACUUCUGAUCAAACUAGAUGCAAUUUUUGCAUUUGGGGCGGUGUGGAAACUGAACCACAUAAAGCAUGCUUCUAUUUCUUGCCUUUCCAACUCAGAAGUAAGAGAUGUAUGGUUUUGGCUAUUGAAGGGAACACGUAUGGCCUGCAUUUUUAGCUUUUCACGCCAUUAUGUGAUCAUAUUGCAUCCACCAGGCUGCCACUAGAAUCUUGGCCCGUCAACUCGUCCGUCUGAGGCAGCAAAUCACCAACUUGCAAGGGAGUCGUGCACAGAUCAGAGGGUAGCAACUCAUACACAGGUCUGAAUUUCUAACAACAACACAGCGUGGUUAAUUCUCUGUAAUUGGCUUUCAUUUAUCUGCUUCUAUAAACAGCAUUUGAUUUUAUUUUUAUUUUAUCUUUUCAGGCCAUGUAUGCUAGUACUUAUCGUAAAGGAAUGAAAGGUGCAAGCAAAGCAAUGGCAACUAUGAAUAAACGAAUGGCACCAGCAAAGCAGGCCAAAGUGAUGCAAGAAUUCCAGAAGCAGUCAGCACAAAUGGACAUGACGGUAAUUUUUGUUGAUACUAAUUCCUACUCGAGCUUUCAAUACUCAUUAUAUUUAUUAGCUUACACU
Magnolia sinica is the source of this 881-nucleotide long non-coding RNA. RefSeq lists it as uncharacterized. The transcript is spliced from 3 exons. The record is from RefSeq and is a predicted model, not a curated record. NCBI's taxonomy places the organism in Eukaryota, Viridiplantae, Streptophyta, Magnoliopsida, Magnoliales, Magnoliaceae.